Molecule: ribosomal RNA, 443 nt
Filed under: uncultured bacterium
Lineage: Bacteria
Description: partial 16S ribosomal RNA
Rfam family: Bacterial small subunit ribosomal RNA
Source: RNAcentral
CCUACGGGUGGCAGCAGUGGGGAAUAAUUGGCAAUGGGCGCAAGCCUGACCCAGCAACGCCGCGUGAAGGAAGAAGGCUUUCGGGUUGUAAACUUCUUGUCUCAGGGACGAAGCAAGUGACGGUACCAGAGCAAUAAGCCACGGCUAACUACGUGCCAGCAGCCGCGGUAAUACGAAGGUGGCAAGCGUUAUCCGGAGUUACUGGGUGGAAAGGGCGUGUAGGCGGGUAAGCAAGUCGGAUGUGAAAGCCAUGGGCUCAACCUGUGGCCUGCAUUUGAAAAUGCUUUUCGUGAGUACUGGAGAGGCAGACGGAAUUCCUGGUGUAGCAGUGAAAUGCUUAGAUAUCAAGCAGAACCCCGGUGGCGAAGGCGGCCUGCCGAGCCAUAACUGACGCUGAUGCACGAAAGCGUGGGGAUCAAACAGGAUUAGAUACCCCAGUAGUC